This 273-nucleotide ribosomal RNA is filed under the name uncultured bacterium. RNAcentral describes it as "partial 16S ribosomal RNA". It matches the Rfam family "Bacterial small subunit ribosomal RNA", at positions 524 to 796 of the family's 1533-position model. The record is from RNAcentral.
UACAGAGGGCGCAAGCGUUAAUCGGAAUUACUGGGCGUAAAGCGUACGUAGGCGGAUCAGAAAGUUGGGGGUGAAAUCCCGGGGCUCAACCCCGGAACUGCCUCCAAAACUCCUGGUCUUGAGUUCGAGAGAGGUGAGUGGAAUUCCGAGUGUAGAGGUGAAAUUCGUAGAUAUUCGGAGGAACACCAGUGGCGAAGGCGGCUCACUGGCUCGAUACUGACGCUGAGGUACGAAAGUGUGGGGAGCAAACAGGAUUAGAUACCCGGGUAGUCC